Molecule: long non-coding RNA, 671 nt
Organism: Oncorhynchus masou masou (cherry salmon)
Lineage: Eukaryota; Metazoa; Chordata; Actinopteri; Salmoniformes; Salmonidae
Exons: 2
Source: RefSeq, a predicted model, not a curated record
CUCAUAAAUAGAGCAACACAUACACAUAUGUGCCGAUUCAGGAGGGUGACAGGAAAGUGGGAUCAAGAUUAUGGUGACCUGAGCUGAGCCCAUACGACAUGAAACAGGUUUUUCAAGACUUAAAGAUAUGAAUGGAACAGGAUAGACCGUCUUUUUUCCACCCCAAGAAGGCACCUAAAUUCAGAAUAGAAAGUGAACCUGAGUUUAAAUUACAUUAGUUUAAAUUGUGAAUGGGACACUCAGUAGUGGUGUUAGCGGGUAGGGUGGUAACGGAACCCAUAAAGCAGCUGUGUCUUUCAAAAGCAGCUGGAUGUGAGCUCUGUUUCCAUCCCGUUUCGCAACAUCCAACAGUCUGACCGUUUGUGGAGAGAAACAUACUUCCUGGUGUACUUGAGUCAGUGAGUGUCUUUUAGUGUGAUGUGGCUGCAGUUGACUCUUCAAUAACUAAUAGGUGAUGUUCUUCAAUGACACGUUUUCUCCCGGAUUGACAAACACUAUAAGCCCCGGAAAUUUCGUGUCAGCAAAGAAUGACACCAGCUUCUAUAUAGGACAUGAGCAGCUUAAGCUAUUUAUUUUAGCUGAUUAAUGUAGUGUGUAAAUUGAUUUAUCGUCAGGCUAUUGUUUCUGAAUUGUUGCCCUGUUAUUCUGAAUUAAAAUAUAACUGGAUUUUA